CCUACGGGGGGCAGCAGUGGGGAAUAUUGGACAAUGGGGGCAACCCUGAUCCAGCCACGCCGCGUGUGUGAAGAAGGCCCUCGGGUUGUAAAGCACUUUCAGUGAGGAAGAACGCCUGGUGGUUAAUACCCAUCAGGAAAGACAUCACUCACAGAAGAAGCACCGGCUAACUCCGUGCCAGCAGCCGCGGUAAUACGGAGGGUGCGAGCGUUAAUCGGAAUUACUGGGCGUAAAGCGCGCGUAGGUGGCUUGAUAAGCCGGUUGUGAAAGCCCCGGGCUCAACCUGGGAACGGCAUCCGGAACUGUCAAGCUAGAGUGCAGGAGAGGAAGGUAGAAUUCCCGGUGUAGCGGUGAAAUGCGUAGAGAUCGGGAGGAAUACCAGUGGCGAAGGCGGCCUUCUGGACUGACACUGACACUGAGGUGCGAAAGCGUGGGUAGCAAACAGGAUUAGAUACCCGAGUAGUC
This 465-nucleotide ribosomal RNA is filed under the name Vreelandella stevensii. Its description in RNAcentral is "partial 16S ribosomal RNA". It matches the Rfam family "Bacterial small subunit ribosomal RNA", at positions 338 to 795 of the family's 1533-position model. Lineage: Bacteria; Pseudomonadati; Pseudomonadota; Gammaproteobacteria; Oceanospirillales; Halomonadaceae. The record is from RNAcentral.